This is a long non-coding RNA of Cicer arietinum (chickpea), 548 nucleotides long. RefSeq lists it as uncharacterized. Lineage: Eukaryota; Viridiplantae; Streptophyta; Magnoliopsida; Fabales; Fabaceae. The record is from RefSeq and is a predicted model, not a curated record.
UUUACACUAAUCAUCAAUAUGUCUUGUGUAGGUAACAGCUCCUGGAGGGAGAACUAGAGAUAGAAAGAGCGACUUGCUUGUUAUAGCUGAUAAGGGGAACUCCUUCAAAAUAAUACAUGCGAGUGAAAAAGAUGAUCCAACAACUGUGAUAGAAAGACGGGAGUGGGCCCAAUCCAGAGAAGAAAUGGAGAGGCAUCUUAGAAAACUAAGAGACUUCAGCACUUCAAAUUGGUUUUGAUUGAUAAGUACGUACUCAAACACUUCCCAAUGAUUGUGCACAGCACGAUAAGUAGUUCGAUCUAACACGUCACACGUGUAUACAGGAAAUUAGACCCAACCUUCCAUUUUUGACAUUGUGUGCUAGUUGCUGGAUAUUGUGUAUAUUCUGUUGUAAUUUGUUAUUGGUAGAGACAUGGCUAUUGAAGUCCAAUUAUCUAUAAUAGUGACCUACAGUUGAAUAGCCACUGCUUGGAUAUAUAACCGUGAAUAUUGAGUCAUGGCAUGACCAUAACUUUUUGAGUACAGAACUUAAUAUUUUUGUAUUUUCA